This 1728-nucleotide ribosomal RNA is filed under the name Pseudomonas aeruginosa. Its description in RNAcentral is "partial 23S ribosomal RNA". It matches the Rfam family "Bacterial large subunit ribosomal RNA", at positions 1 to 1773 of the family's 2925-position model. The record is from RNAcentral. Lineage: Bacteria; Pseudomonadati; Pseudomonadota; Gammaproteobacteria; Pseudomonadales; Pseudomonadaceae.
GGUCAAGUGAAGAAGCGCAUACGGUGGAUGCCUUGGCAGUCAGAGGCGAUGAAAGACGUGGUAGCCUGCGAAAAGCUUCGGGGAGUCGGCAAACAGACUUUGAUCCGGAGAUCUCUGAAUGGGGGAACCCACCUAGGAUAACCUAGGUAUCUUGUACUGAAUCCAUAGGUGCAAGAGGCGAACCAGGGGAACUGAAACAUCUAAGUACCCUGAGGAAAAGAAAUCAACCGAGAUUCCCUUAGUAGUGGCGAGCGAACGGGGAUUAGCCCUUAAGCUUCAUUGAUUUUAGCGGAACGCUCUGGAAAGUGCGGCCAUAGUGGGUGAUAGCCCCGUACGCGAAAGGAUCUUUGAAGUGAAAUCGAGUAGGACGGAGCACGAGAAACUUUGUCUGAACAUGGGGGGACCAUCCUCCAAGGCUAAAUACUACUGACUGACCGAUAGUGAACCAGUACCGUGAGGGAAAGGCGAAAAGAACCCCGGAGAGGGGAGUGAAAUAGAACCUGAAACCGUAUGCGUACAAGCAGUGGGAGCCUACUUGUUAGGUGACUGCGUACCUUUUGUAUAAUGGGUCAGCGACUUAUAUUCAGUGGCAAGCUUAACCGUAUAGGGUAGGCGUAGCGAAAGCGAGUCUUAAUAGGGCGUUUAGUCGCUGGGUAUAGACCCGAAACCGGGCGAUCUAUCCAUGAGCAGGUUGAAGGUUAGGUAACACUGACUGGAGGACCGAACCCACUCCCGUUGAAAAGGUAGGGGAUGACUUGUGGAUCGGAGUGAAAGGCUAAUCAAGCUCGGAGAUAGCUGGUUCUCCUCGAAAGCUAUUUAGGUAGCGCCUCAUGUAUCACUCUGGGGGGUAGAGCACUGUUUCGGCUAGGGGGUCAUCCCGACUUACCAAACCGAUGCAAACUCCGAAUACCCAGAAGUGCCGAGCAUGGGAGACACACGGCGGGUGCUAACGUCCGUCGUGAAAAGGGAAACAACCCAGACCGCCAGCUAAGGUCCCAAAGUUGUGGUUAAGUGGUAAACGAUGUGGGAAGGCUUAGACAGCUAGGAGGUUGGCUUAGAAGCAGCCACCCUUUAAAGAAAGCGUAAUAGCUCACUAGUCGAGUCGGCCUGCGCGGAAGAUGUAACGGGGCUCAAACCACACACCGAAGCUGCGGGUGUCACGCAAGUGACGCGGUAGAGGAGCGUUCUGUAAGCCUGUGAAGGUGAGUUGAGAAGCUUGCUGGAGGUAUCAGAAGUGCGAAUGCUGACAUGAGUAACGACAAUGGGUGUGAAAAACACCCACGCCGAAAGACCAAGGGUUCCUGCGCAACGUUAAUCGACGCAGGGUUAGUCGGUUCCUAAGGCGAGGCUGAAAAGCGUAGUCGAUGGGAAACAGGUUAAUAUUCCUGUACUUCUGGUUACUGCGAUGGAGGGACGGAGAAGGCUAGGCCAGCUUGGCGUUGGUUGUCCAAGUUUAAGGUGGUAGGCUGAAAUCUUAGGUAAAUCCGGGGUUUCAAGGCCGAGAGCUGAUGACGAGUCGUCUUUUAGAUGACGAAGUGGUUGAUGCCAUGCUUCCAAGAAAAGCUUCUAAGCUUCAGGUAACCAGGAACCGUACCCCAAACCGACACAGGUGGUCGGGUAGAGAAUACCAAGGCGCUUGAGAGAACUCGGGUGAAGGAACUAGGCAAAAUGGCACCGUAACUUCGGGAGAAGGUGCGCCGGCUAGGGUGAAGGAUUUACUCCGUAAGC